RNAcentral lists this ribosomal RNA (729 nucleotides) under uncultured bacterium. RNAcentral describes it as "bacterial SSU rRNA". It matches the Rfam family "Bacterial small subunit ribosomal RNA", at positions 1 to 721 of the family's 1533-position model. The record is from RNAcentral.
GUGGAAUUCGCCCUUAGAGUUUGAUCCUGGCUCAGGAUGAACGCUAGCGGCAGGCCUAACACAUGCAAGUCGAGGGGUAUAUAGUGCUUGCAUUAUAGAGACCGGCGCACGGGUGCGUAACGCGUAUGCAAUCUACCUAUUGCAGGGGAAUAGCCCAGAGAAAUUUGGAUUAAUGCCCCAUAGUAUUAUUGAGUAGCAUUACUUAAUAAUUAAAGAUUUAUCGGCAAUAGAUGAGCAUGCGUACUAUUAGCUAGUUGGUGUGGUAACGGCACACCAAGGCUACGAUAGUUAGGGGCCCUGAGAGGGGGAUCCCCCACACUGGUACUGAGACACGGACCAGACUCCUACGGGAGGCAGCAGUGAGGAAUAUUGGACAAUGGUGGGAACACUGAUCCAGCCAUGCCGCGUGCAGGAAGACUGCCCUAUGGGUUGUAAACUGCUUUUAUACGGGAAGAAACACCCCUACGUGUAGGGAUUUGACGGUACCGUAAGAAUAAGGAUCGGCUAACUCCGUGCCAGCAGCCGCGGUAAUACGGAGGAUCCAAGCGUUAUCCGGAAUCAUUGGGUUUAAAGGGUCCGUAGGCGGGCUUCUAAGUCAGUGGUGAAAUCCGGCAGCUUAACUGUCGAACUGCCAUUGAUACUGGAAGUCUUGAAUUACUAUGAAGUGGUUAGAAUAUGUAGUGUAGCGGUGAAAUGCUUAGAUAUUACAUGGAAUACCAAUUGCGAAGG